GGGCUGGAAAGGUGACUGUACUUCAAAAGAACUUCAUUGACUUGGAAGCACUUUGGGACACUCUGGAGCGGUGAAAGGCUUCUCUGGAGCAAUAUGCUGACAGAUCUGCUUUGUGUUUCACGCAUUUUCAGUUCCCGAUAUGAGA
This is a long non-coding RNA of Carcharodon carcharias (great white shark), 145 nucleotides long. RefSeq lists it as uncharacterized. NCBI's taxonomy places the organism in Eukaryota, Metazoa, Chordata, Chondrichthyes, Lamniformes, Lamnidae. The record is from RefSeq and is a predicted model, not a curated record. The transcript is spliced from 3 exons.